This 386-nucleotide ribosomal RNA is filed under the name uncultured prokaryote. RNAcentral's name for it is "bacterial SSU rRNA". It matches the Rfam family "Archaeal small subunit ribosomal RNA", at positions 339 to 725 of the family's 1478-position model. The record is from RNAcentral.
GCGCGAAAACUUUACAAUGCUGGCAACACCGAUAAGGGAACCUCGAGUGCCAGGUUACAAAUCUGGCUGUCGAGAUGCCUAAAAAGCAUUUCAUAGCAAGGGCCGGGCACGACCGGUGCCAGCCGCCGCGGUAACACCGGCGGCUCGAGUGGUCACCGUUAUUAUUGGGUCUAAAGGGUCUGUAGCCGGCCGGAUAAGUCUCUUGAGAAAUCUGGCAGCUUAACUGUCAGGCUUUCAGGAGAUACUGUCUGGCUCGAGGCCGGGAGAGGUGAGGGGUAUGUCGGGGGUAGGGGUGAAAUCUUGUAAACCGUGAAGGACCACCAGUGGCGAAGGCGUCUCACCAGACCUGACCUGACGGCAAGGGGCGAAAGCUAGGGGCACGAACC